Molecule: ribosomal RNA, 253 nt
Filed under: uncultured bacterium
Lineage: Bacteria
Description: partial 16S ribosomal RNA
Rfam family: Bacterial small subunit ribosomal RNA
Source: RNAcentral
UACGUAGGGGGCUAGCGUUGUCCGGAAUCAUUGGGCGUAAAGCGCGUGUAGGCGGCCCGGUAAGUCCGCUGUGAAAGUCCAGGGCUCAACCCUGGGAUGCCGGUGGAUACUGUCGGGCUCGAGUCCGGAAGAGGCGAGUGGAAUUCCUGGUGUAGCGGUGAAAUGCGCAGAUAUCAGGAAGAACACCCGUGGCUAAGGCGGUUCUCUAGUACGGUACUGACGCUGAGACGCGAAAGCGUGGGGAGCGAACAGG